CGUAUAUUUUUUAAAGUCUAACCUGUCCCACUGUAAAUUUUAAAUUGGCCGCAGUAUAUUAACUGUGCAAAGGUAGCAUAAUCAUUAGUCUUUUAAUUGAAGGCUGGAAUGAAUGGUUGGACGUAAUAUUAACUGUUUCAAAAUAAUUUAAAUUAGAAUUUUAUUUUUUAGUAAAAAAGCUAAAAUUUUAUUAAAAGACGAGAAGACCCUAUAAAUCUUUAUAAUUUAUUUAUUUUAAUUGAAAAGAAUAAUUUUAUUAUAAUAAAUUAAAUUAUUUUAUUGGGGUGAUAUUAAAAUUUGAUAAACUUUUAAUUUAUUAAAUCAUUAAUUUAUGAAUAAUUGAUCCAAUUUUAUUGAUUAAAAAUUCAAGUUACUUUAGGGAUAACAGCGUAAUUUUUUUGGAGAGUUCAUAUCGAUAAAAAAGAUUGCGACCUCGAUGUUGGAUUAAGAGAUAUAUUUGGGAGUAGCCCUUCAAAUGUUAAGUCUGUUCGACUUUUAAAUUCUUACGUGAUCUGAGUUCAGACCGGA
Molecule: ribosomal RNA, 528 nt
Filed under: Meiosimyza rorida
Lineage: Eukaryota; Metazoa; Arthropoda; Insecta; Diptera; Lauxaniidae
Description: Lyciella rorida partial 16S ribosomal RNA
Rfam family: Bacterial large subunit ribosomal RNA (bases 381-528)
Source: RNAcentral